This 253-nucleotide ribosomal RNA is filed under the name uncultured bacterium. Its description in RNAcentral is "partial 16S ribosomal RNA". It matches the Rfam family "Bacterial small subunit ribosomal RNA", at positions 524 to 776 of the family's 1533-position model. The record is from RNAcentral.
UACAGAGGGGGCAAGCGUUGUUCGGAAUUACUGGGCGUAAAGGGCGCGUAGGCGGCCUUCUAAGUCGAACGUGAAAUCCCUGGGCUCAACCCAGGAACUGCGUCCGAUACUGGAAGGCUUGAAUCCGGGAGAGGGAUGCGGAAUUCCAGGUGUAGCGGUGAAAUGCGUAGAUAUCGGGAAGAACACCCGUGGCUAAGGCGGCUCUCUAGUACGGUACUGACGCUGAGACGCGAAAGCGUGGGGAGCGAACAGG